CCCUUCGGGGUGUGACUGCGUACCUUUUGUAUAAUGGGUCAGCGACUUAUAUUCUGUAGCAAGGUUAACCGUAUAGGGGAGCCGGAGGGAAACCGAGUCUUAAUUGGGCGUUAAGUUGCAGGGUAUAGACCCGAAACCCGGUGAUCUAGCCAUGGGCAGGUUGAAGGUUGGGUAACACUAACUGGAGGACCGAACCGACUAAUGUUGAAAAAUUAGCGGAUGACCUGUGGCUGGGGGUGAAAGGCCAAUCAAACCGGGAGAUAGCUGGUUCUCCCCGAAAGCUAUUUAGGUAGCGCCUCGUGAAUUCAUCUCCGGGGGUAGAGCACUGUUUCGGCUAGGGGGCCAUCCCGGCUUACCAACCCGAUGCAAACUGCGAAUACCGGAGAAUGUUAUCACGGGAGACACACGGCGGGUGCUAACGUCCGUCGUGAAGAGGGAAACAACCCAGACCGCCAGCUAAGGUCCCAAAGUCAUGGUUAAGUGGGAAACGAUGUGGGAAGGCCCAGACAGCCAGGAUGUUGGCUUAGAAGCAGCCAUCAUUUAAAGAAAGCGUAAUAGCUCACUGGUCGAGUCGGCCUGCGCGGAAGAUGUAACGGGGCUAAACCAUGCACCGAAGCUGCGGCAGCGAACGUAUCACCCAAGACAACUUUACGG
This 654-nucleotide ribosomal RNA is filed under the name Salmonella enterica subsp. enterica serovar Typhimurium. RNAcentral's name for it is "partial 23S ribosomal RNA". It matches the Rfam family "Bacterial large subunit ribosomal RNA", at positions 582 to 1219 of the family's 2925-position model. Lineage: Bacteria; Pseudomonadati; Pseudomonadota; Gammaproteobacteria; Enterobacterales; Enterobacteriaceae. The record is from RNAcentral.